GAUGAACGCUGGCGGCGUGCCUAAUACAUGCAAGUCGAGCGAACAGAUGGGGAGCUUGCUCCUCUGACGUUAGCGGCGGACGGGUGAGUAACACGUGGAUAACCUACCUAUAAGACUGGGAUAACUUCGGGAAACCGGAGCUAAUACCGGAUAAUAUAUUGAACCGCAUGGUUCAAUAGUGAAAGACGGUUUUGCUGUCACUUAUAGAUGGAUCCGCGCCGCAUUAGCUAGUUGGUAAGGUAACGGCUUACCAAGGCAACGAUGCGUAGCCGACCUGAGAGGGUGAUCGGCCACACUGGAACUGAGACACGGUCCAGACUCCUACGGGAGGCAGCAGUAGGGAAUCUUCCGCAAAGGGCGAAAGCCUGACGGAGCAACGCCGCGUGAGUGAUGAAGGUCUUCGGAUCGUAAAACUCUGUUAUUAGGGAAGAACAAAUGUGUAAGUAACUAUGCACGUCUUGACGGUACCUAAUCAGAAAGCCACGGCUAACUACGUG
Molecule: ribosomal RNA, 497 nt
Filed under: uncultured bacterium
Lineage: Bacteria
Description: partial 16S ribosomal RNA
Rfam family: Bacterial small subunit ribosomal RNA
Source: RNAcentral